UGCAUCCUUCUCUGAGCCGUUCCGCCCUUAUCAGAGUUCUUACCCAGCCUGGCACUAAUCCUACAUGCAGGCCGCUGGCAUCUCUGGUCUUCUGAGUUCUUUCAGUGUUUUCCAGACAGACAGCAAAGUGCUGCUGUUGAAUCUAAACUAUAGAGUGAGCACACAGUGGGGAGGAUAUGACCAGUCUAUGGCACAUCCUGGAAUUACUUUUUUUUUUUUUUUUUUUUUCAAUAAUUUGCUAGGAAAUUGUCAUUUAAUUCCUGUGCUUUAGCAUGAGCUUAGAAGGAAAUAGAGUUUGGUUUGAACUAAAUUGCUGCUGCUUUCCAAGGUCCUUGCAUACAGCCCCUGAGCUACAAUGCAAGUAAUAAACAUCAGCAGCUAAUGACAAACGAAACUAAAGGUUGGAGGUCAGAUACCCCAUCCUCCAGAGUGCCGGCAAAUUGCCUUUGCUCCCUUUGCAGCUGCCUAUUGCUCCCUGAGACCCAAGCAGUGCUCGGUGUGCAGCACAACCACUGUUAGGGCAGCACAGCACUGGUGCAGAGAAUGAUACUACCACCGCCAGGCCAGGUGUGGAUGCUAGGGGAUGGAUGCUCAGGGGAUGGAUGCUGGGGGAUGGAUGCUCUGGGCACAGAUGCUAGGGGUUGGAUGCUAGGGCAAUGGAUGCUGGGGGAUGGAUGCUCAGGGGACGGAUGCUCGGAGGCGCAUUGGCACGCACACAGCAUUCAUUAAAAGCGGAUUAGGUGGAAACCUCAAACAGACCGAUGCUGCCGAAAAGGAAUGAAUGCAGAGCACAGGAAUUGUUGGAGGAGUGGGUGACAGGAGCUGGUUUGGGAAGCUAGGGCUCGGGUGGUGUGCGCAGAGCCGGGCUCUUUGCCUCGGCAGUCCCUCUUAAUGAACUCGAACAGAGCCAUCAGUAAAAAAUAUCAGAGGGUAUUCGGUGAUAGGAAGAUUAACCAGGCACGAAAAGUUAAAAGAACGCUGCUCGGAAUUAUCAAAGUCCUAGUUAUAGAUAUCAGGUGCGUCAUAAUACUUUGCUGAAGUUCUCUUUAUAUCCAUUUGCACACAAAAUAAGUUCUCUGAGACUAACAUCUACCUAAACUAUCACUGCGUCUCAGGUCUGCCCGAGGCUCGGUAAGGCUGUUGGCGUUCCUAAGAAGUACACAGAGGAUAACCGAGGUGAUCACUUGGUGAUGCUCGCAGCUAGCCACGGAACUCGAACGGAGAAGGUCAGAAACAAAACGUCAGGAGAGCCCUAUGGCAUCACACCACAGCCGACACGAACACAGCAAACUCUGCCCAUCGCCAAAGAACGGAAAGAAGUACGACUAAAACGCAAGCCGAUGUGUUGCAGCAUCGUAGGGCCACUAGAUAGCCAUCCGUCAACUCGUGGCGAUUGACGAGGUGAAGAGAAGGCACGAAAGCUGCAAAACCGCUCCCCGCGUCCCUCGGCCAAGCUGUGGGGGCGGGCGGGGCCGCGGGGUUCGGAGCCGGCCCACCCCGUCGGGCCCUGCCCCGUAG
RNAcentral lists this long non-coding RNA (1518 nucleotides) under Gallus gallus (chicken). Its description in RNAcentral is "lncRNA (ENSGALG00010005652.1)". Lineage: Eukaryota; Metazoa; Chordata; Aves; Galliformes; Phasianidae. The record is from RNAcentral.